This 468-nucleotide ribosomal RNA is filed under the name uncultured bacterium. RNAcentral's name for it is "partial 16S ribosomal RNA". It matches the Rfam family "Bacterial small subunit ribosomal RNA", at positions 28 to 507 of the family's 1533-position model. The record is from RNAcentral.
GACGAACGCUGGCGGCGUGCUUAACACAUGCAAGUCGAACGGAAAGGCCCUGCUUUUGUGGGGUGCUCGAGUGGGGAACGGGUGAGUAACACGUGAGUAACCUGCCCUUGACUUUGGGAUAACUUCAGGAAACUGGGGCUAAUACCGGAUAGGAGCUCCUGCUGCAUGGUGGGGGUUGGAAAGUUUCGGCGGUUGGGGAUGGACUCGCGGCUUAUCAGCUUGUUGGUGGGGUAGUGGCUUACCAAGGCUUUGACGGGUAGCCGGCCUGAGAGGGUGACCGGCCACAUUGGGACUGAGAUACGGCCCAGACUCCUACGGGAGGCAGCAGUGGGGAAUAUUGCACAAUGGGCGGAAGCCUGAUGCAGCAACGCCGCGUGCGGGAUGACGGCCUUCGGGUUGUAAACCGCUUUCGCCUGUGACGAAGCGUGAGUGACGGUAAUGGGUAAAGAAGCACCGGCUAACUACGUG